GAUAAACGCUAGCGGCAGGCCUAACACAUGCAAGUCGAGGGGCAGCAUAGAUUGUAGCAAUACAAUUGGUGGCGACCCGCGCACGGGUGCGUAACGCGUAUGCAACCUACCCGUCACAGGGGGAUAAUCCGGAGAAAUCUGGUCUAAUACCCCAUAACAUAUGGAUCGGCAUCGGUUCAUGUUGAAAUUUUCGGAGGUGACGGAUGGGCAUGCGUAGCAUUAGCUUGUUGGUGAGGUAACGGCGCACCAGGGCGACGAUGCUUAGGGGGACUGAGAGGUUUUCCCCCCACACUGGUACUGAGACACGGACCAGACUCCUACGGGAGGCAGCAGUGAGGAAUAUUGGUCAAUGGGCGCAAGCCUGAACCAGCCAUGCCGCGUGCAGGAUGACGGCUCUAUGAGUUGUAAACUGCUUUUGUACGAGGGUAAAGUGGGUUACGUGUAACCUUUUGAAAGUAUCGUACGAAUAAGGAUCGGCUAACUCCGUGCCAGCCGCCGCAGUAA
This 504-nucleotide ribosomal RNA is filed under the name uncultured bacterium. Its description in RNAcentral is "partial 16S ribosomal RNA". It matches the Rfam family "Bacterial small subunit ribosomal RNA", at positions 28 to 523 of the family's 1533-position model. The record is from RNAcentral.